Molecule: ribosomal RNA, 506 nt
Filed under: uncultured bacterium
Lineage: Bacteria
Description: partial 16S ribosomal RNA
Rfam family: Bacterial small subunit ribosomal RNA
Source: RNAcentral
UAGGGAAUCUUCCACAAUGGACGCAAGUCUGAUGGAGCAACGCCGCGUGAGUGAAGAAGGUCUUCGGAUCGUAAAGCUCUGUUGUUGGUGAAGAAGGAUAGAGGCAGUAACUGGUCUUUAUUUGACGGUAAUCAACCAGAAAGUCACGGCUAACUACGUGCCAGCAGCCGCGGUAAUACGUAGGUGGCAAGCGUUGUCCGGAUUUAUUGGGCGUAAAGCGAGCGCAGGCGGAAUGAUAAGUCUGAUGUGAAAGCCCACGGCUCAACCGUGGAACUGCAUCGGAAACUGUCAUUCUUGAGUGCAGAAGAGGAGAGUGGAACUCCAUGUGUAGCGGUGGAAUGCGUAGAUAUAUGGAAGAACACCAGUGGCGAAGGCGGCUCUCUGGUCUGCAACUGACGCUGAGGCUCGAAAGCAUGGGUAGCGAACAGGAUUAGAUACCCUGGUAGUCCAUGCCGUAAACGAUGAGCGCUAGGUGUUGGGGACUUUCCGGUCCUCAGUGCCGCAGC